RNAcentral lists this ribosomal RNA (453 nucleotides) under uncultured Thiobacillus sp. Its description in RNAcentral is "bacterial SSU rRNA". It matches the Rfam family "Bacterial small subunit ribosomal RNA", at positions 923 to 1382 of the family's 1533-position model. Lineage: Bacteria; Pseudomonadati; Pseudomonadota; Betaproteobacteria; Nitrosomonadales; Thiobacillaceae. The record is from RNAcentral.
GCACAAGCGGUGGAUGAUGUGGAUUAAUUCGAUGCAACGCGAAAACCUUUACUACCCUUGACAUGUCCGGAAUCCUGCAGAGAUGCGGGAGUGCCCGAAAGGGAAUCGGAACACAGGUGCUGCAUGGCUGUCGUCAGCUCGUGUCGUGAGAUGUUGGGUUAAGUCCCGCAACGAGCGCAACCCUUAUCAUUAGUUGCUACGCAAGGGCACUCUAAUGAGACUGCCGGUGACAAACCGGAGGAAGUGGGGAUGACGUCAAGUCCUCAUGGCCCUUAUGGGUAGGGCUUCACACGUCAUACAAUGGUCGGUACAGAGGGUUGCCAAGCCGCGAGGUGGAGCCAAUCCCAGAAAGCCGAUCGUAGUCCGGAUUGUUCUCUGCAACUCGAGAGCAUGAAGUCGGAAUCGCUAGUAAUCGCGGAUCAGCAUGUCGCGGUGAAUACGUUCCCGGGUCUU